UGUCUUCAAAAGAGAAGCUGGCCUUUACCAGCAAACAACAAAAUGAUUAGCCUUCAGAGAUAAAUAGAAAAAUAAAAUGAGAAACAUGACUGAUAGCUUAAAUUGCAAGUAGGCAACUCAACACUCAGAAAUGAGUGAAGAAAUAAUCACACAAAGCCAUCUCAUGAUACCACAAUUGCUCAUUAAUGAAAAACAAUUUCGUACCCAAAUUCUAACAUAAACUUGAAAUUAGGCUAAGUAAUAUUAUAAGUAUUAUAUUUUCUCUUCUCUUUCUGCAGCUUAGGAAAAACGAAUCUGGUCUUCUUCUAAUUUCUCGACAUUUUCUUAGAAUGCAAACAGAGAUUCCUAAUACCAUAUUCGUGCAAAAG
RNAcentral lists this unclassified non-coding RNA (368 nucleotides) under Hevea brasiliensis (rubber tree). The record is from RNAcentral. Lineage: Eukaryota; Viridiplantae; Streptophyta; Magnoliopsida; Malpighiales; Euphorbiaceae.